CAAUAGCGUAUAUUAAAGUUGUUGCGGUUAAAAAGCUCGUAGUUGGAUUUCUGCUGAGAACGACCGGUCCGCCCUUUGGGUGUGUAUCUGGCUCUUUCUUGGCAUCUUCUUGGUGAACGUUGCUGCACUUGACUGUGUGGAGCGCUACCCAGGACUUUUACUUUGAGGAAAUUAGAGUGUUUCAAGCAGGCAUACGCCUUGAAUACAUUAGCAUGGAAUAAUAAGAUAGGACCUCGGUUCUAUUUUGUUGGUUUCUAGAGCUGAGGUAAUGAUUAAUAGGGAUAGUUGGGGGCAUUCGUAUUUAACUGUCAGAGGUGAAAUUCUUGGAUUUGCUAAAGACGGACUACUGCGAAAGCAUUUGCCAAGGAUGUUUUCAUUG
This 379-nucleotide ribosomal RNA is filed under the name uncultured eukaryote. RNAcentral describes it as "partial 18S ribosomal RNA". It matches the Rfam family "Eukaryotic small subunit ribosomal RNA", at positions 592 to 975 of the family's 1831-position model. The record is from RNAcentral.